RNAcentral lists this ribosomal RNA (107 nucleotides) under Danio rerio (zebrafish). The record is from RNAcentral. Lineage: Eukaryota; Metazoa; Chordata; Actinopteri; Cypriniformes; Danionidae.
ACUGGCAGCCAGCUCUCUGCAACUCUCAUAUGGAUGGCCACUGUAGGGUUGCGCCCCGUUAGUACCUGGAUGGGAGACCACAUGGGAAAGUUAGGUUGCUGCCGGAA